This 531-nucleotide ribosomal RNA is filed under the name uncultured bacterium. Its description in RNAcentral is "bacterial SSU rRNA". It matches the Rfam family "Bacterial small subunit ribosomal RNA", at positions 367 to 916 of the family's 1533-position model. The record is from RNAcentral.
GACAAUGGGGGCAACCCUGAUCCAGCAAUGCCGCGUGAGUGAUGAAGGCCUUCGGGUUGUAAAGCUCUUUCGCCCGCGACGAUAAUGACGGUGCCCGGAGAAGAAGCUGCGGCUAACUACGUGCCAGCAGCCGCGGUAAUACGUAGGCAGCAAGCGUUGUUCGGAAUUAUUGGGCGUAAAGAGUGUGUAGGCGGUGCUCUAAGUCUGUCGUGAAAUCUCCCGGCUCAACUGGGAGGGUGCGCCGGAAACUGCCGGACUCGAGUGCGGGAGAGGAGAGUGGAAUUCCUGGUGUAGCGGUGAAAUGCGUAGAUAUCAGGAGGAACACCGGUGGUGUAGACGGCUCUCUGGACCGUAACUGACGCUGAGACACGAAAGCGUGGGUAGCAAACAGGAUUAGAUACCCUGGUAGUCCACGCCCUAAACGAUGCAUAUUUGGUGUGGGCAGUUCAUUCUGUCCGUGCCGGAGCUAACGCGUUAAAUAUGCCGCCUGGGGAGUACAGUCGCAAGGCUGAAACUCAAAGGAAUUGACGG